RNAcentral lists this ribosomal RNA (210 nucleotides) under Boesenbergia longiflora. RNAcentral describes it as "5.8S ribosomal RNA". The stretch from base 37 to 192 matches the Rfam family "5.8S ribosomal RNA". From Rfam's summary of the family: 5.8S ribosomal RNA (5.8S rRNA) is a component of the large subunit of the eukaryotic ribosome. The record is from RNAcentral. Lineage: Eukaryota; Viridiplantae; Streptophyta; Magnoliopsida; Zingiberales; Zingiberaceae.
GGAGCCCAAUGCGUCGGAGAUUCCUCAGAAUCAAAUGACUCUCGGCAAUGGAUAUCUCGGCUCUUGCAUCGAUGAAGAACGUAGUGAAAUGCGAUACUUGGUGUGAAUUGCAGAAUCUCGUGAACCAUUGAGUCUUUGAACGCAAGUUGUGCCCGAGGCCUUGUGGUUGAGGGCACGCCUGCAUGGGCGCCAUGGCAUCGUCGCCUUUGC